UUGUCACUUUGGCAGCACAUAUACCAAACUUGGAAUAAUGCAGAGAAGCUUAGCAUGGUCCUAUGCAAGGAUGACACACAGAUUCGUGAAGUAUUCCAUAUAUUU
This is a small nuclear RNA of Cercocebus atys (sooty mangabey), 105 nucleotides long. The record is from Ensembl. Lineage: Eukaryota; Metazoa; Chordata; Mammalia; Primates; Cercopithecidae.